ACGCGUUGGCCCAAUUGAUUGAUGGUGCUUGCACCUGAUUGAUUUUGGUCGCCAACGAGUGGCGGACGGGUGAGUAACACGUAGGUAACCUGCCCAGAAGCGGGGGACAACAUUUGGAAACAGAUGCUAAUACCGCAUAACAACGUUGUUCGCAUGAACAACGCUUAAAAGAUGGCUUCUCGCUAUCACUUCUGGAUGGACCUGCGGUGC
RNAcentral lists this ribosomal RNA (210 nucleotides) under Limosilactobacillus fermentum. Its description in RNAcentral is "Lactobacillus fermentum partial 16S ribosomal RNA". It matches the Rfam family "Bacterial small subunit ribosomal RNA", at positions 61 to 239 of the family's 1533-position model. The record is from RNAcentral. Lineage: Bacteria; Bacillati; Bacillota; Bacilli; Lactobacillales; Lactobacillaceae.